RNAcentral lists this ribosomal RNA (450 nucleotides) under uncultured bacterium. RNAcentral describes it as "partial 16S ribosomal RNA". It matches the Rfam family "Bacterial small subunit ribosomal RNA", at positions 354 to 796 of the family's 1533-position model. The record is from RNAcentral.
GUGGGGAAUAUUGGACAAUGGGCGAAAGCCUGAUCCAGCCAUGCCGCGUGUGUGAAGAAGGUCUUCGGAUUGUAAAGCACUUUAAGUUGGGAGGAAGGGCAGUAAGUUAAUACCUUGCUGUUUUGACGUUACCGACAGAAUAAGCACCGGCUAACUUCGUGCCAGCAGCCGCGGUAAUACGAAGGGUGCAAGCGUUAAUCGGAAUUACUGGGCGUAAAGCGCGCGUAGGUGGUUUUGUAAGUUGGAGGUGAAAUCCCCGGGCUCAACCUGUGAACUGCCUCCAAAACUGCAUGACUAGAGUACGGUAGAGGGUAGUGGAAUGUCCUGUGUAGCGGUGAAAUGCGUAGAUAUAGGAAGGAACACCAGUGGCGAAGGCGACUACCUGGACUGAUACUGACACUGAGGUGCGAAAGCGUGGGGAGCAAACAGGAUUAGAUACCCCGGUAGUCC